RNAcentral lists this long non-coding RNA (758 nucleotides) under Mytilus galloprovincialis (Mediterranean mussel). The record is from RNAcentral. Lineage: Eukaryota; Metazoa; Mollusca; Bivalvia; Mytilida; Mytilidae.
UCCACCCCAUCCUAUACCUUUUAGCUUUUAAUAUAAGAAAUAUAUUAGGUUUUUUAGUCUUCUUAUAUAACUAACAAAGUAAGACCGCGAGACCGUGCGGUCUAACAAAAUUCUGAUAAUAUCGUUAACAAAAACUGGACAGUGUGAUUCAACCAAUCGCUAACGUGGACAUAUAAUAGAUAGUGUUUUGAAGUUUUACAUGUACGGUCUAACAAAUUCUUUUAGUACUGCUAACAAAUAUAAACAUAUAAGCCAAUCGCUGAUUUUGAUCCUUCUGACAUCAUCACUAUCUUCGCCAUAUUUGCAGAACAUUAGAUACAGAAUUCUAUUUUCAAAGAUUUUGUUUAGUUAAGUUUUUUAAGCCCAAGAAUGGAGAUAACCACAACAGUUUCGCAAAGUCAAACUUUAGAGGUAAUUCCAUACACAGUGCUAAUUUGAAAUAUAAGUGAUCGCAGUGAAUGGUUGCUCCAACAGGCUUUAUAUUCACCCUUACACGUGGUCGACUUGCUUGAUAUUAUAACAAAAGUGAUUGACCGGGUGUAUAUAUCUUUAUGAUUAUACUAUCGUGUCUUCGUAAAAGCAACAAAACUAUGUACGAAAUACCAUCCAUAUGCAACAAACUGUAACAUUAUAUAUAUACGUACAUAUACACCUCAUUCAUAACACUGCCACCGACUUAAACAUGAGGUUACAAAGAUGUUAGCUCCGGAAAGCGUAAAUCUAAUAUUAUGAUUUUUCUUUAUUAUGAAGAUGCCGGC